Molecule: ribosomal RNA, 406 nt
Filed under: uncultured prokaryote
Also listed under: 1 other name
Description: bacterial SSU rRNA
Rfam family: Bacterial small subunit ribosomal RNA
Source: RNAcentral
UGGGGAAUAUUGGGCAAUGGGCGCAAGCCUGACCCAGCAACGCCGCGUGAAGGAAGAAGGUUUUCGGAUUGUAAACUUCUGUCCUAUGUGAAGAGAAGUAGACGGUAGCAUAGGAGGAAGCCCCGGCUAACUACGUGCCAGCAGCCGCGGUAAUACGUAGGGGGCAAGCGUUGUCCGGAAUGAUUGGGCGUAAAGGGCGCGUAGGCGGCCUGUUAAGUCUGGAGUGAAAGUCCUGUUUUCAAGAUGGGAAUUGCUUUGGUUACUGAUGGGCUUGAGUGCAGGAGAGGUUAUCGGAAUUCCCAGUGUAGCGGUGAAAUGCGUAGAGAUUGGGAGGAACACCAGUGGCGAAGGCGGGUAACUGGACUGCAACUGACGCUGAGGCGCGAAAGUGUGGGGAGCAAACAGG